Long non-coding RNA from Sorghum bicolor (sorghum), 1955 nucleotides. RefSeq lists it as uncharacterized. The record is from RefSeq and is a predicted model, not a curated record. The transcript has 2 exons. NCBI's taxonomy places the organism in Eukaryota, Viridiplantae, Streptophyta, Magnoliopsida, Poales, Poaceae.
GGCAUCAGCAGCAGCACACAGCUCAGUAGGGCAGCAGCACGCCAGCAGCUCAGCAGCAGGCAGCAGCAGCACGCCAGCAGCAGCAGGGCAGCAGCAAGCACGGCAGCAGCUCGCAGCAACGAACGGCGCGCGGAUGAGAUACGCGGCGAGUCCGCGCGUGUAGAAGUGCGCGCGCGGAUGAGUAGGAUAGCAAGUCCAGGUUUUUGACAAACAUGUUUAGCAAACUGUUGGAGAGAGUUUUUAUCAUUGAUUUACCAAAAUUUAUGAGAUAGCAAGUGUUUUAGCAAACUGUUGGAGAUGCUCUCAGGGUGCUAUACUGAUGAACAAGAAUACAGAUAAUCCAACCAUCAGUGUACCAAACCACCAAUUUGACAAUAUAUACAUCAAUUGAUGAGUCACAUUGUCUACGCGUCAACAGAAAUCCACACCAUCAGCGUUCUACUUGGAGCUGGUGACUGUGGUACACUGAUGUCCACUGCUAGAGGACUACAUGAAGUAUUAAAGGGAGUAGGCAUCCUUUGACAAAUUUGGAUGGAAUUAUAAAGUGUCUUGUUUGCACUAAAAUGGUAAUACUCACAUACCUUCUAUGCAUACAACUAGAGCUAUUUUUCUUCGUAAUCCAAUUGAACUCCUGUCAAAAAUUAGCUGUAUCAGGCCAACUGAAUUUCUGCAGUCAGAAGUUCAGGCCCGCUAUGAUUCAACCUUCCGACUCUAACACAUCGUUAGUGGUACUAAGUCCUAAAUACAAAGUGUUUGCUUCUUUGUCUGGUUUUUUACCCCUCUGCAGCAAUGCAAAUCAUUUAGCCACCUUGGGAUGAAACUAAUCAAAGCAAAUGGAUUGACCUGAAAACAGCAUUGUAUGUAAGCAAGCCGUGCAUAAAUCGGAAACGGACUGUCACAAAAAAAAAAAAAUCGGAAACGGCUAUAGGUUUGCAUCUGACUAUCUGAGUUUGAUGGCACUCUAGCAAGAAGCCAGAGCCGUCGUGAGCCACAUCAAAUGGGGUCUUAGAUACUCUAUAAUGUAUUCAGUUGUGAUAAAUUUUUCAAUUACUAUAUGUUUUCAUACUUUGCAUUGCACCUCUGUAGUUUUUAAUAUAGUAAUAUAUAUUUUGUUUAACCCUUAGCUUAAGUUAUAUCGGCUCAUCAUGGAUCUAUAUUUUGGUUUUUGACUUGUUGCAAUUUUUUAUACACAUAUUAAGUUGAAACUUAAUUAUGAUCCGAAGGGAGUGUUUAGUGUCAAGUCUUCCUACAUAAUGCGCAUUAAGAACUGGAUCCAAUGGUCAGGGAACGAGCAAUCUGGCAGCUGCUGAAAAUCCAACAAUGGGAGGCCUCUUUCAGUGGAUGAAAAAUUGGAAAUUUAGCUAUCCAAACAAACUGCAGAUGUUUGCUUGGCGUUUAGCCAUAAUAGUUUACUCCUGCACAAGAAAAUUCAGAGUAGAGGCUUCGAGCUGGACACCCUUUGGUCUUUGCCCCAUGUGUCACAGGCUCGAUGAAGAUGGUGGUCAUAUGUUCGUCAAAUGAGGAAUAAAAAAAGCCUAGGGCGAAGUCUGCUUUCAAAUUCAAAGGUACAUUAUUAAGUUUUGCCAUGGAUAGAAUGCAUGAUGAACUGGUGGAGCUUAAUGGCAAUGAUUCAAAUACAAGGAGGGUAUGGUCGUUUCUUCUGCUGAUGAUGAUCCUUGGGAGACAGUUGGACGAAAGAAAAAAAAAUCUGCAAUAACUGGAACUCGGAGUUUUGUUCCCUCUGAUCUAAGUGCUAUUUUUGGAGGGCAGCUACAGAGCGUUGUGAAAGCUGCAGGUAAAUUUGUCUUGUCGUGAGAGAGCGGACUCUGUUUUUCUGUAAAGAACUGAAUCUCUAUCUAGCUAUGCCUUUGAAAGAACUUGGAAAGUUGUGCCUUUUCAGUUUUUCUUGAUCUGUUAUGCCCGAUUAAUGUUUCCAUGAACACACAUUCCCUGUU